This 210-nucleotide long non-coding RNA is filed under the name Lathyrus oleraceus (garden pea). RNAcentral describes it as "Pisum sativum (pea) long non-coding RNA (PSAT_LNC036879)". The record is from RNAcentral. Lineage: Eukaryota; Viridiplantae; Streptophyta; Magnoliopsida; Fabales; Fabaceae.
AAAAAUUAAACAAAAGGAGGCUAUGGAGCAACUACUAUAACUCAACAUAAAGGAAUCAAGUUAUGCGAAUCACAAGAGGCAAAGAGGAUGAGGUCUUGGCCAAGAUCGUGGCCGUGGACGAGGACAUGGAGGAGAAGGAAGAGGCAAUUACAAUAACUACUGUAAUAAUGGAGAAAGAAGUUGGAAUCCACAAGCAACAAGAGGUCGUGG